CACAUCACCAUUGACAGAGAACCUUAUCAGUCCAUAGACAUAAACAGGGGCCUUCAUUCUCUGUGCUCUCCUGAUGCUUUCUUCACAUUCUGGAAACUGCCUUCAUAUUUAUUCAUCUGUCAUUCGCUCAUUUGUUCCUUCAUUGGCUUGUUUGCUCCUUCAUUGGCUCAUUAGUUUUCAUAGGCUCACUCAUUCAUUUCUGCUUCUUCAAAUACAAUUCAAGCUCUAGAAACAUCUCCUCCUGCCCUCAGAACCCAUUACAAAGUAUGUGUAAUGACGGAUGACCAGAUUGUCCUCUUCUUGGAGCUUAGUAAAUACAUCUGACCAUCUGUGCCUAUGCUGGUUUCAGGGAGGGUUAACUAAAGGAUGCCAUCCACAUGAAUGUGGAUAAGAACAACAUCACUUAGAUCACCUCGUGUAAUGGGGUUCAGGCUUUAGGGGGAGUUGAGCUUGAGAGCAAGCAUUCUCUCUCCACUUCUGAGCUGCCCCAUAGGAGCUCUCCUGCCUGUCACACCCUUCCUGCGAUGGUGUGCUAUAACCUCUGACAUCUGAGCACAAUUCAUUUCGUUUUUAGUGGCCUUGUCCAGUCUUUUGUCACAAUGGCAAAAACCUAACUAUGAUGAGGAUCAAAAAAUUUGCUGAAUCAGUCAAAGUGAUCGACUACUGUGCUGUCAUGGCACACUUCCUCAUGGUCUCGGAGAGAGGAAAGAUUUCAUAGCCUGGCCAAUGUGGUAGAGCAGGAGAAUUCUGAAGACCCCUGGACAAGAAUAAUGAGGGUCCAUGUUUUAGGGUUUAAUCUGGAUGUCCCUGAGCUGCUAUUGCUUGUCGGUUAAAUCAGAAUAAUAAAGGUAGCUAAGGUAGUGGGGUGAGUGUGGCCUUGCAGUGAAAUCUCAGAGUAGAUGCGUGUGCAAGCUUAUGGUAUCAGUGCAUGUUUCUUUUACACUUGUAUUUGCACAGACACAUUUGUGACAAAGACAGGAGGGAAUUUAUGUGCUAACCAGGAGACUGCAGUAAAAGUCUAGCCUAGAGUACCAGCUAGCAGGGGGCAGAAGGCAGAGGUGCACAUGGGCAUAUGAUCUGAGUCCAGCCUAGACAACAUGCUGAAACCUCAUCUUACAACAAAUAACAGAAAAGAGUAAGUUCAGUGAGAUAGCAUUCAGUUAACUUCCAAUCCUAAGAUGUUCACAUUGUUUACAUGGACAGGAUUCUGGUAGCAAGAAAAUUAGGACAAACCGGUUUAUGAUGUAGCAUUAUGAUGUAGAUAUUAUAAGCAUAGUUUUUCAUUUCUUCUGUAGUGCAAAUUCAUCAUGACCCAAUAUAAAAUAAUUUUAUACAUCAAUAAUUAAAAUUCAGCAGUUGGUUUUAUAAGAACACCGUAUUUGAGUUAGACCCACUUAACUGCACUUAGACCAAGAAAAGCACAAACUAAGCACCAAGUACUUGUAGGUAAUAACUGCCAAUAUAAUUGAUUAUCUUGGUUUUGCUCUGCAUAUCUGUUGACUAGGCAAUGAAUAAUCAUCUCGGUCACUGUUAACGGUAACCGUCUCAUGGGAUCAGUUUUGUUGUUAGCCGCUCAUCAAAUCCGGACGUGCCCACGGCUCUCAUGGUCAGCUGAGACUACCCACUCAUUAUAUCAGGAGCAGACAGUUAUUAUCGAAUCAAUACAACCCAAGUCUCCUUUUCACUCACCACAGAAGAGCCAGAAGAGGAUGCCCGACAUGGUUACUACCAUACCAGGUGUGCUGGGAAUUGAACCCGGAGCCUCUGGAAGGUCAGCCAGUGAUAUUGACCUCUGAACCAUCUCUCCAGCCACCCACAGAACUUCAAUGGACUCUUUCCUCCUAAAACCCCCUUGUUACAGGACACUCUCUGGACAGGUCCAUGAAAAGUUUGAAUAAAAGAUACAGUGAUUCCCUGUUGGCAGGAGCCCUACAUGCUGAUAGGCGUGACUAGUUUAGCAUUGCACCCACUGUAAAGACAAAAACAACCCAGGAACAAUAACAUUGAGAAGAGUGAGAGUGGAUGGACAGGGUCAAGCAGAGAGAGGGCCCAACGGCCAACAUGGUUUUGAGCAUCUUCAGCAGCAAUACCCACCCAGAAAAGCCACAGGAAUGGAUGUAUUUCCUCCAAUUAAUCUCUUAAUUCCCAAGAAGAUUAGAACCUGUGGAUUGCUUCCAGACAAAUAUGGUAUGAUGGAACAAGACCCCUGAAAGGUUGAUAUGAACACCCCCACAAAGAAAAUACUUCACCCAAUAAACAGCAGGAAGCAGUUUGGAGAAAAAUAACUAUGCUCAUAUUCCCAAAUAUUGUCUAUAAAAGUUUAUUUACAUGUAAAGGGAGGAUAUGAUAUAGAUAUGAACAAUUUGCAUUGGUAUGGAUAUUGGUUACUUAAUACGAAUUUAAGAUAAAUUUUUUAUACUGUAUACGUGUAUUUCUGUUCUUGAUUAAGGUAUUGUGAUUGAGUAGUUCAUUUAAAAAAUAAUUAAGAAAUAUAGGUUAAUAGAUAAUCAACUAUAAUAGUCAAGCUUGUAGUCAUGUUAGUUAGAUUUUCUAGAUGUAUAGAGAUAUAUUUCAGAUGGAUAGACAUUCUUCAGGCCUUUCAAAAACUACAGAAUAUGGCAUUGAAAAUGUUUUCAAGAACUUAAGAUUACAAAAGGAUGAUGGUAUUAAAGAGGCUUCUUAUGGAGUUGCUUAGUCAUUUGGGCAAGAUACUGCUCUUGCCUAAACUGCUUCACUGGGCAUGCAAGACCCACAGAGAAAUGACUACUAAACUUGCCUAAAGGUGAGAUAAUCCUCCAGGGUCCCUGCAUCAUGAAAGAGAAUGUGAGCCUUUCCCACAGAAUACAGAAGAAAGUGACUAAACUGUCUUUGAAAUUUCCUGCUUCAUGGAAAAGUGUGCUGGAAACUAUGGGCCUAUAGGCUGAAGAUUGACGCCCCAAUGGUACAGAAGAACUUUGGGUUACUGUCCAGGUAGUGAGAUGUCUCUGUCAUUUCUAGAGUUUUGGAAGUUGCUUGCAAUGCACUUCCUGUUUACUUAGGUACUAUAUCCUUCUGGAGUUUUUGAUGGAGUUGAAGAAUAGAUAGAUAGUUAUAGUUUUCCUUAGUUAUGAUAAAAGAUAAAGUAAAUAACAAUAUUGUAACUGUAAUUCUUGCUUGAUACCUAUUUUGUUAUAUGUAAUUUUACUAUGUAAAAGUUAAAACCUUCCUUUUUAUUUAAACAAAAAAGGGGAGGUGACUUAGGAGCCCCCUCUGUGUGCUGUGAUUACCAUUAAUGAAUAAAGGAACUGACUUGGCCUGUUGAUGAGGAGAACUUAGGUAGGUGAGGAGGACUGGACUGAAUGCUAGGAGAAAGAAGGGUAGAGUCAGAGGAUGCCAUGAAGCUAUAGACUAAGAUAGACAUGCUGAAACUUUGCUUGUAGGCCAUGACCUCAUGGUGAUACACAGAUUAAUAGAAAUGGGUUAAACUAAAAUGUAAGAGUUAGCCAAGAAGAAGCUAGAACUAAUGGGCCAAGCAGUGAUUUAAAUAAUACAGUUUCUGUGUGAUUAUUUCAAGUCAAAGCUAUCUGGGUGGCCAGGAAUGAGCAAGCAUCAGCUCCUUGCAAUGUAAUCACAUUUAGAUUAAUGCAGAAAAUGUAACUCUUUUUAAUUUAUAAUUUUAUUAUUUUUCUUUGAGACAGGGUUUCUCUGUAGCUUUGAGCCUAUCCUGGAACUAGCUCUUGUAGACUAGGCUGGCCUCAAACUCACAGAGAUCCACCUGUCUUGGCCUCCCAAGUGCUGGGAUUAAA
Long non-coding RNA from Alexandromys fortis (reed vole), 3785 nucleotides. RefSeq lists it as uncharacterized. The record is from RefSeq and is a predicted model, not a curated record. Lineage: Eukaryota; Metazoa; Chordata; Mammalia; Rodentia; Cricetidae. The transcript is spliced from 4 exons.